AUGAACGCUGGCGGCGUGCCUCAUACCUGCAAGUCGAGCGCACAGACGAGGAGCUUGCUCCUCUGACGUUAGCGGCGGACGGGUGAGUAACACGUGGAUAACCUACCUAUAAGACUGGGAUAACUUCGGGAAACCGGAGCUAAUGCCGGAUAAUAUAUUGAACCGCAUGGUUCAAUAGCGAAAGACGGUUUUGCUGUCACUUAUAGAUGGAUCCGCGCCGCAUUAGCUAGUUGGUAAGGUAACGGCUUACCAAGGCAACGAUGCGUAGCCGACCUGAGAGGGUGAUCGGCCACACUGGAACUGAGACACGGUCCAGACUCCUACGGGAGGCAGCAGUAGGGAAUCUUCCGCAAUGGGCGAAAGCUUGACGGAGCAACGCCGCGUGAGUGAUGAAGGUCUUCGGAUCGUAAAACUCUGUUAUUAGGGAAGAACAAAUGUGUAAGUAACUAUGCACGUCUUGACGGUACCUAAUCAGAAAGCCACGGCUAACUACGUG
This 496-nucleotide ribosomal RNA is filed under the name uncultured bacterium. Its description in RNAcentral is "partial 16S ribosomal RNA". It matches the Rfam family "Bacterial small subunit ribosomal RNA", at positions 29 to 507 of the family's 1533-position model. The record is from RNAcentral.